This 497-nucleotide ribosomal RNA is filed under the name uncultured bacterium. RNAcentral describes it as "partial 16S ribosomal RNA". It matches the Rfam family "Bacterial small subunit ribosomal RNA", at positions 28 to 507 of the family's 1533-position model. The record is from RNAcentral.
GAUGAACGCUGGCGGCGUGCCUAAUACAUGCAAGUCGAGCGAACAGACGAGGAGCUUGCUCCUCUGACGUUAGCGGCGGACGGGUGAGUAACACGUGGAUAACCUACCUAUAAGACUGGGAUAACUUCGGGAAACCGGAGCUAAUACCGGAUAAUAUAUUGAACCGCAUGGUUCAAUAGUGAAAGACGGUUUUGCUGUCACUUAUAGAUGGAUCCGCGCCGCAUUAGCUAGUUGGUAAGGUAACGGCUUACCAAGGCAACGAUGCGUAGCCGAACUGAGAGGGUGAUCGGCCACACUGGAACUGAGACACGGUCCAGACUCCUACGGGAGGCAGCAGUAGGGAAUCUUCCGCAGUGGGCGAAAGCCUGACGGAGCAACGCCGCGUGAGUGAUGAAGGUCUUCGGAUCGUAAAACUCUGUUAUUAGGGAAGAACAAAUGUGUAAGUAACUAUGCACGUCUUGACGGUACCUAAUCAGAAAGCCACGGCUAACUACGUG